AAAAGGUUUCAAGGCACAUCGUGCAGUAGAAAGGUCCAGGUGGCUGGUGUGUUCACUACGUCGUAUCUGUCUCUUUUCCAAUGGACUGUACCCCUUGGACUGUAGCCUGCCAGGCUCCUCUGUUCAUGGGAUUUUCCAGGCAAAAAUAAUGGAGCGGGUUGCCAUUUCCUUCUCCAGCGGAUCUUCUCGACCCGGGGAGUGAACUCGUGUCACAUGCAUUGGCAGGCAGAUUCUUUACAGCUGAGCUACCAGGGAAGCCCAAUCUCUGGUGCUAGAGGUAAGGGCGCCUGAAAAAGGGGACUUUGCAGAGGUGAUGAAGAAUCUGAAGUGAGGAGAUGAUUCCCUCACCGAGAUUAUCAGAUUAUCCAGGUGGGCCCAAAUUAAUCAUGGGGGUCCUCAGAAGAUGGAAAGAAGGCAAGAGGAUCAGAGAGGUUGAAGCCAAGAGUCUGGAGUGAUGUGUCCAUGAGCCAAGGAGUGUGGGCAGGCCUUAGGAGCUGGAGAAGGCAAGGGAUGGAUUCUCCUUGAGACCUUCCAGAAGGAAUGUUAGCCCUGCAUUUUCAAUUGAUUUCUGACCUCUAGAACCAUGAGAUGAAUAAACUGGUGCUCUUUUAAGCCACCAAGUUUAUGGUAAUAUUUAUACAGAUGCAAUA
Long non-coding RNA from Cervus elaphus (red deer), 650 nucleotides. RefSeq lists it as uncharacterized. NCBI's taxonomy places the organism in Eukaryota, Metazoa, Chordata, Mammalia, Artiodactyla, Cervidae. The record is from RefSeq and is a predicted model, not a curated record. The transcript has 3 exons.